Molecule: long non-coding RNA, 1970 nt
Organism: Megalobrama amblycephala (Wuchang bream)
Lineage: Eukaryota; Metazoa; Chordata; Actinopteri; Cypriniformes; Xenocyprididae
Exons: 3
Source: RefSeq, a predicted model, not a curated record
UCUAACAUCUUACUGCACCUUUAAUACCUGCACCUACAUCUUUACAGACUUUGUCAUCAGGAGCCUAUGCAAUAUUUGUGUCUCUCUUUCUCACAGUUUGUGCACAUGGCCCGUUGUACCCACGUAUCAUGGGUGGUGAUGAUGCCCAGAAGAAGGCGUGGCCGUGGAUAGUUAGUUUGCACGAUCCCACCUGCCAUUUUUGUGGAGGUUCCCUCAUCAGCAGUCAGUGGGUGCUGUCGGCAGCUCACUGUUUCAUUGGGGAUGAUUACAUUGUUACUGAGGACACCUGUACGUGUGUACUUGGGAAAGAUGACACAGCAGAGGAAAAAAUAAGAAGGAAAUUGUGAGAAAUGUACAAAGUAUCCACAUUCAUAACGGCUACGAUCGGUUGACUGACAAUUCUGACAAUGACAUCGCUCUGCUGCACUUGUCUGAUAAAGUCAAGUUUAAUAAAUAUAUUAGUCCAGUGUGUCUGAUAGCUCACAGCAGUGAUUUCCCUACUGGCACCAGUAGUCGGAUCAUAGGCUGGGGACAAACUGCAAAUCAAGUGAAUGUACCUUAUCCUGGGGCUCUGCAGCAGGCUGACGUUUUUGUGGAGGACUAUAAUCAGUGCCAUAACAACCUGACACAAUGUAUUAAUCACCACAUCCAGUGGGGAAUACAGACAAAUGCACAAGUCACCAACAAUAUGAUUUGUGCUGGCGUUCAUGGCGGUGGCAUAGACACACUCCUAGUAUAACAACAUGAUUAUUAUUACUUGUCACUGCAAUGUCUGUUAAGAUUUACUGUAUCUUUAAACAUCUAACACUUAAACAUCUAAUACUUUACACACAUUACAGUACACUUACAAUAUCUCACUAUGUUCUAUCCACACUCCUAUACUUUAACCAUUUUGGCCAGUACUUGUAAAAUGUAUCCAUGUUUAAUCUUUGAGAGAAGGUGAGUUUCUCCUUAUCAUACAUAUCUUUUACAAUCAUUAUCCAUUCUUCUUUUGUUGGUGGAUUCUCAUGCAACCAUUUCUUAGUUAUUACUUUUUUACUAGCAACCAAUAAUAGUUUGAGUAGGUACUUAUCUUGUGUAUUAAAAUCAGUUGGUAUGUUUCCUAAAUAUAUGAUACCAAAGCUGUUCUCAAUUUCGAAUCCCAAUAUCAAUUUUCAGUGGUUACCUCUAACCAAUACGAUUGAAUUGCUGGACACUUCCAAAAUAUGUGAAAGUAAUCAGCCAUGGAAUUAUUACAUUGUUUCCAACAGAGUGCAGAUUCCAGAUUACCAUCCUGUAAAUGUUUUCUUUUUGGAGUAAUAAAAAAAUCUUAUUAUAUUCUUCCAUGAGAAUUCUCUCCACUGACCUGAGCUGGAGGUAGUAUACUGUGUUUUACAAAUGUUUAACCAUUCUUCAUCAGAUAAAAAUGCUUCCUUCUACUAAGCAAAGUCAGCAACAGACUCAUGCAGGUGCAGUAUGACAGAAUAUUUGCAGAGACGGUUAUUUUAACAUAAUUAUGUAUGUGUCCAGGGCCAGAUUGGGACUCAUUUUCAGCCCUGGAGUUUCAUGCCUUAGACCGGCCCACUUUAAUUCACGACUGACUAUAUUAAAAUAAUGUAAUUAAAACCUCAGUAUAUAAGUCUGCAAUAGUGCACUGUUCUCUACAGCCUUGUAAAUAAUUGUAUUUUUCAAAAAUAUCUUCAAAUACCCAUGAUAGUACAAAUGAUAGUACAAAAAAAUGCUAAAAUUUGAUAUAGAGUUAUUUUUAUAGUUAUAAUAAUGAUUUUAUAAUGUGCACCACUGAUUAAUUCUCUAGCCAUCUAGUGGCUGUAGUUAAAAAUUCAUGUUAUUUGCUUUCCAGUAGAUGGCAGUAAUCAUCCACUAAACCCAGACACAUUUUUCAUGUCUAUCACUAUGAAUGAAAUUUAGAAAUGUAGAUCUUUAUUAAAGUGGAUUUAACAUAAAAUUUUGCUAUUUUAUAUAAAUGCAUA